GGGGGAUACCCGGCCAGGCCCGCUGGGUUAUCCCGGGAUCUCGCGCCUCCGCCGCUUCCCCGGGCCCCGCACGGGCCGUGGGAGCAGUUGGGGCGCUGAGGGCUGCAGGGACAGAGCAUCGUUUCCCAAAGGCAUCGCUGUCCCCAGGGGGAACAGGGCGUUUGCUGGGCUGAGACUCCCUAUUUCUGAAUCAGAAUCCUUCCCGACGCCUCCUUGCCCGUGCCAUGACGCCCGUGGCGCCGUGGCAUGGAGCGAGGGCCGCGGGAGUGCAGCCGUAUGGAAGUCUCGUGUCCUUCUCAGCCUCAUACUUCCUCACCCCUUUAUUUUUUUUAAUUGGUUUGGUGAAUGGACCGCUGCCAUGGAGACAUCAGGCGUGGCCAGAAAUAGCUAACGAGGCAGAACUGGAAAGGGGAGUGUGGCCAGUACUAAAGCGGGGAGGGAAAAAGCGAUUUUAGCCGCUGAUGUGUGAGAUGCGAGCAGGAGGGAGAGGAGCCCCGACGGGAGGGAUGAGGGGCCGCAGCCAUGAAGGUCUGGAGGCAGAGUGGUGCUUUGUGGGGUGGAACUGUAUGGGCCAGGUCGGGAAGGACAUCCUUCGCCUGCCUCUUUGUCAUGGAAUUCUUCAAAAAGUCCUCCAGGCAGUUAUAAAUGCAUGCAAAAUACAGAGGGUUUCUUUUGUUUUGGUUUUUUGUUUGUUUGUUUUGUUUUUUGUUUACUUGGAUUUGGGUUCGUUUGGUUUUUUUACAGUAAAACAAAGGAAACUAGGGACAAAGGCAUUGUUUGCAGUAUGUCUUGAAGAUAAAAAAAAGGCUCCUGCUUCAGACAUAAUGGCUGACUUUUUUUAUAGAUGAGGAUCCUCCUCUGCACUCCCAAGCUGCCUCCCAAGGCAGCUGAGGGGCACUAAGGACUGGAGUGUCCAAUUAACAAUGUUUGUAAUAGGUUGUCAUGAGGAAAUGGGGCCUAACUAUCUGAGCAAAUGUCUAAUGUUUUCACUGCUCUAUCUAUCCUCACAGUAUUCCAUUGUUAUUUUACAAAUAGUGUUUUGAAAAAGGUUAAUGUGGAUUAUAACUGCUGCCUAGACUGGAAGAACUAUCCUACCUGACUGUUUUAACAAAAAACUAUACUGGCAGUUGUGAUACCCAUUUAUACUUCUCAAACCUUUUACAUAAACUUCAGUACUGAGAGUAGUUCCUGAACUGAUCCUUCAAUAAACUAAUCCUUCAAUAAAGUUAACUAAAUGCAGCAGAGGAUAAAUUUCACUCCAUGGAGAAAAAUAAAUGUUGUGAUCAUGUAUUUAAAAAAUGGGUCAUGCCAAGAUGUAUUCAAGUUUUUGAUGCACCACUGUCCCACAGUCCACCAAAAACAGUUUGAGGAGGCUGCUAGGAGGAACAUCUUAGGGGAAGUGGAGGUUAAAAUUAUUUUUAAUUAUCUGGUAUUCCUUUCUUUUAUUUAGAAGAAAGCCUUUCAUUUUCUCUGAGCAUUUUCACUCCAACGAGAUUAAAAAAUAAGAACUUCUGAGUGGUAAUCUAGAUGGUUUAAUAAGUAAAAAUUCUUUAUAAGUAUUUUCUUCUGGGUUUCCUACCUUUAUAUAGUGUUUUUUUCUUCUUCAGCCUGCCUUUUAAAAUUUCUUAAAUAUAUUUCUUUUCUUGUUGCUGUAUAACAGGCUUGAUUCCUUUUCUCCUUGUGCUUCCUUUUUAAGCUUCCUUCUCCCUUUCCUCAUUAACUUUUUUUUCCUUGUGUGUAGUUUUUUCUCUCCUAGAUUAGGUGUAGAUUAGGAUGAAGUUUUUACUGGAUGGAACAUGAACAUAGCAUCCAUGUAGAUGCAGAGGAACACUACAGCUCGGUGUUAGCAGGUUACAGAAAGCACAGGCUUUUUUUUGCUAAUCCUUAAGUACUUUUAUGUGCCACAGACACCAUGGCAGCCUGGGGAAUCCCUGUCCUUCUCUGUUACUGACUAGCACUCUCAAUACAGAGCCCAGGGAAGCUGGAGGACAUCCUCCUCAGUUUUCUGCAUGUUCAUGAGAAAGCUUGUCAUCCAUAGUACUGCAGGAGGAAUUUCUGCUGUUUCCACCAGCAAGGGUGAAAAUGGGAUUUUAAUUUGUACCCUAUCACUGGUGGACAUAAUACCAUUGAGCAGUGUUUAGUGAUUUAUGGGUUUAUCUGUUUAAAUUUCUAACAAUCACCUCCCAAUCAUGAACUGUUUCUGUGUUUCAGGGCUGAUGAUGUGUUCCCUCAGUAGCAGAUAAUGUAAAUGAAAGAGGCAGAAACAGACGAGCAGUCAGCUCUUCAAGAAGCAUUUGGACAAUGCUCUCAGGCACAUGAUGUGAUUCUUGGGGAUGGUCCUGUGUGGGUCCAGGAGUAGCUAAAUCCAGCACACCAGUCACAGGAGAUCAAUGACAAAUGCUGAGCAGCACAUCUCACUAAUGCAAAUAUGUGAAAUGCUGGCCACUGUCUGUAGGUGAUCUAUUCAGCUGCUGGAUCUAAUUGUUUGUUUUAACUAAACCCAUUUCCUGGUGUUCUGAAGUAAGUCCUCUCCUCCCUACUUAAUCAAUACUUCCUCAAAAGAAAUUCUAAUUGUUCUUCAUUUGUUUGCUUUCUGUUUAGGCAUGUUGCGUGUGGCAGGAUGCUACAUAAAAAUCCAAUUAAGUUAUAUACAUUUUCACCCAUGUGAUUCUCAUCACAAAUUGUUCCCCAUUUUUUCCAUGCCCUCAGGUGACGUAGCCCCAUGGAAUUAUUCAGACUUUCAUCCAGCAGUGCAGUUUCAGUACUUUAUUUUGAAAGUCUCUUAAUACCUAGUUUAAGACAAGAGAACAAAUUAAAUGUAAAGUGUUCUUUAUUAAAUAACUCAAAAGGUAAAGCAAACUGUGCAGUUAAGAAAGACAACAAUGUGGCCAAAGGAUUUUUACAGCAGAAAACAAACAGCGGCGUAUGAGCAUUUCAGUCUAGCAGCCAAACUGUCCUCAUUUUUGUGGAGCUAAUUUCGGUCUUCAAAUUGUGACUUGUUUUUUAAAAGAUAUGCUGCUAGAAAUUCAAUGGGAUUUGGCGGUCUGUAAAGAAAAAAAAGCAAAUCAAAAGCAAUUAUUUUUUGUUAUAUGAAAUUAGGUAGCUGAAGAACUAAUCACCAUCCCUUAAAAGAAACAUAACUCCUCCCAAACACUUACAAGCAUUGAUUUAGGGAUGACUGACUACCUAGAGUGACUCUGAAUUUCCAGUUUAUGUCUAAUGAGAAAGUUUUUAAAAAGCGGUCUUAGUCUCUGUUAGUUCAAUAUUACUAAAUUGCUAUGGUUAUAUAUCUAAAACUAGGGUAUAGUCUGUAAGUAUAAAUACGGUAUGUUCACGAUUAGAUGUGACAUGCAUUUGCCUAUUUCUUUGACUCAUGCUAUAUAAAGUAAAACUGAAUCUGUCAGUGCCUUUUUGCUUCAUUUUCUUCAAGCGGUUAUCGUGUAGCUUUGUGGAUUAAAGUUGUUUUCAUGGUUUCUGGCAACCAAAAUGAACACAACAAAACUUUAAGUUUAAGAAGUGCUGUAACUUGCAAGUAGUCAAUAAUAAACACUUCUGAUCACUGGC
Pseudopipra pipra is the source of this 3564-nucleotide long non-coding RNA. RefSeq lists it as uncharacterized. The record is from RefSeq and is a predicted model, not a curated record. The transcript is spliced from 2 exons. Lineage: Eukaryota; Metazoa; Chordata; Aves; Passeriformes; Pipridae.